Maniola jurtina (meadow brown) is the source of this 100-nucleotide long non-coding RNA. RefSeq lists it as uncharacterized. The record is from RefSeq and is a predicted model, not a curated record. NCBI's taxonomy places the organism in Eukaryota, Metazoa, Arthropoda, Insecta, Lepidoptera, Nymphalidae. The transcript has 3 exons.
UCCAUUGAAGGUUUUCUACGAGAAAAUAUUUUACUAUCACUCAGCGAAGCAACAAUGUAGAACUAACCAAUGUCGAAUGAACGCUCGAGCCUACUAAUGU